AUCUCCCGCUUGAACUAUGUCGUUAUUUCUCUGAUCCCCCAGGUUAAGGGUGCUGAAUUAAUUUCUCAAUUCCGACCUAUUGCUUUGAUCAAUAACUUUGCCAAAUUUCCGGCUAAGGGCUUCGCUAACCGUCUCUCCCCUGUUGGGCAUAGAGUUAUCAGCCCCUUCCAGUCUGCUUUCAUCAAAGGUCGUUUCAUCUUAGAUGGUAUCCUCUCUUUGCACGAAAUUGUGCACGACCUUUACUCUCGGAGAUCCAAAGCGAUUAUUCUUAAGUUAGAUUUUGAGAAAGCUUACGACUCGGUCAGUUGGUCGUUUCUUAAGCAGGUCUUG
RNAcentral lists this ribosomal RNA (330 nucleotides) under Triticum aestivum (bread wheat). RNAcentral describes it as "partial small subunit ribosomal RNA". The record is from RNAcentral. Lineage: Eukaryota; Viridiplantae; Streptophyta; Magnoliopsida; Poales; Poaceae.